UAUUUAGAGAGUUUGAUCCUGGCUCAGGAUGAACGCUGGCGGCGUGCUUAACACAUUCAAGUCGAACGAAGCUACAUUGGUUAAUCCUUCGGGAAGCGCUGAUAUAGCUUAGUGGCGGACGGGUGAGUAACGCGUGAGUAACCUGCCUUAAUGAGGGGGAUAACACCUGGAAACGGGUGCUAAUACCGCAUAAAGUAUUGAUUUCGCAUGGGAAUAAUACCAAAGCUGAGGCGCAUUAAGAUGGGCUCGCGUCCGAUUAGACAGUUGGUGAGGUAACGGCUCACCAAAUCAACGAUCGGUAGCCGGACUG
RNAcentral lists this non-coding RNA (310 nucleotides) under Candidatus Apopatosoma intestinale. RNAcentral's name for it is "Ruminococcus sp. CAG:724 Bacterial small subunit ribosomal RNA". It matches the Rfam family "Bacterial small subunit ribosomal RNA", at positions 1 to 294 of the family's 1533-position model. Lineage: Bacteria; Bacillati; Bacillota; Clostridia; Eubacteriales. The record is from Rfam by way of RNAcentral.